CCAAGAAAGAGACCGGCCACUCCAGAUUGGUGGUGGCAGUUUUAAUAAGCAAAGGGAACUUGCUCAGGAGGCUUGCCUUGGAUGGCUUUAGGACGGUAGAUCUCUGCACCUGCCCCUGCCAAAUCAGAAAAGAUUACAUAGAGCCCUUCACUGGGUUCAGUCACCGACACUGUGCAGAGGGUCAGCACCACAGCAUUACCUGAAGGCUGUGUCCUUGGGGCAGCUUCUGGGAGCCCGGAAGGCCGGUUGAUCACAAAUCACAAGCACAAGUUCACUGGCUGUGGUCUGGCUUGAAUCAUACCAUCAAGGUUCUCAUUGGAGAGUACAUUGGAAUACAUUUUCACUGAAUAUUGAAAAUUUUUUGAAACAAGAGAUCGACGACUAUAUUCAAAAUUUCAAACACAUUUUUCAACUCUUAACCGGCCAUUUAUUUUCACUUGAGAAACCUCCUGAAGAUUCAGCUGACUGAUUAAGACAGAAAGAAUCAUAAAAGUGAAUUCUUCAUUAUGUUGUCAAUUUAAGAUU
This is a long non-coding RNA of Canis lupus familiaris (dog), 525 nucleotides long. RefSeq lists it as uncharacterized. The record is from RefSeq and is a predicted model, not a curated record. NCBI's taxonomy places the organism in Eukaryota, Metazoa, Chordata, Mammalia, Carnivora, Canidae. The transcript has 3 exons.